Molecule: long non-coding RNA, 990 nt
Organism: Dromaius novaehollandiae (emu)
Lineage: Eukaryota; Metazoa; Chordata; Aves; Casuariiformes; Dromaiidae
Exons: 2
Source: RefSeq, a predicted model, not a curated record
AGAGGAGCCCCAGCAGUGCUGUCUGGGACGGCCAGUGCAAAUGCCGCAGCUUCACCCCAGCACUCCACUCGCCUCCCUCCUGCCCCGCGCGUGGCCCCACUCCUGGCUGGGGACGACCUGCCUGCGCCCGCCUGGCUCCGGGAAACCCUGCUGGGAGCACCGCGCGGGCUCCUUGCAGCGCUGGCUCCCAACAGCUCAGCUCCAGCUCCAGCGGUGCCCCGACCUGCGCCCGGGGACAGAGGAGCCCCAGCAGGGCUGCCUGGGACGGCCAGUGCCAACGCCCCCACGUCGCCCCAGCGCCGGCUCUGGGACGCUGCCGCCUGCGCGCAGAGCCUGGGACAGCGUGUCCGGCAGCAGGGGCUGCGUCCCGGCCCCUCUCACCCCCGCGGGCACCUCGGAGGCGCUUCCUGGUGAGCCGGGGGACGUUUUCCCCCGGUGCCUUCUCCCUGAGGAGCCUGGGGGGUUGUGUCCCUGGUGAGUAACAGCUCCAGCCUCGCUGCCUGUCUCUGUGUCCUGGCCAGGGGCUGCCGACACCGCGCGACGGCCUCGCGCCUCCUUUCUGCGCUCCGCAGCGAAGCCGGGAGCACCGCGAGGUUUGUUUCCUCCCGGACAGAAGCCGCCCGGCUCCCUGCUCGCAGCAGGACGAUGCCUCCGCUCGCCUCCCUCCCGCCCUGCGCGGGGCCCCGCUCCUGGCUGGGGACGACCUGCCUGCGCCCGCCUGGCUCUGGGCCUCCUUGGGAGCCUGCUGGGAGCACAGCGGGGGCUCCUCGCAGCUCAGCUCCGGCUCCUUAGGGCUCGGCCUCAUGACAGCAGUGGUGGUGACUGACAAGGUCGUAAAUCAAUCACUGUCACAGCUUGCAUAUUAAUAUCAUAGUUCAAUAUUUCAUACAUACUGCACAGUUAGUUUAUUAACAGUGUACAUACUCCAUGCACACAUUGAAUAAAGAGUCCAAGUCUUGUACAAAUGGGGAAUAAACAGGGGAACUGGAA